This 313-nucleotide unclassified non-coding RNA is filed under the name plant metagenome. RNAcentral describes it as "partial contains 5.8S ribosomal RNA, internal transcribed spacer 2, and large subunit ribosomal RNA". The stretch from base 1 to 106 matches the Rfam family "5.8S ribosomal RNA", at positions 49 to 154 of the family's 154-position model. The record is from RNAcentral.
CGAAAUGCGAUAAGUAAUGUGAAUUGCAGAAUUCAGUGAAUCAUCGAAUCUUUGAACGCACAUUGCGCCCUUUGGUAUUCCGAAGGGCAUGCCUGUUCGAGCGUCAUUACAACCCUCAAGCUCUGCUUGGUAUUGGGCUUCGCCGGAGCAAUCCGGCGGGCCUCAAAGCCAUAGGCGGCGGCGCCCCUGCUUUAAGCGUAGUAAAGUUCUUCUUUCGCUUGUAGGUGGGGGCGUUGCUUGCCUGACAACCCGGGCUCUGCCCACCUUCUCAGGUUGACCUCGGAUCAGGUAGGGAUACCCGCUGAACUUAAGC